RNAcentral lists this ribosomal RNA (501 nucleotides) under uncultured Glomeraceae. RNAcentral describes it as "SSU rRNA". It matches the Rfam family "Eukaryotic small subunit ribosomal RNA", at positions 570 to 1076 of the family's 1831-position model. Lineage: Eukaryota; Fungi; Glomeromycota; Glomeromycetes; Glomerales; Glomeraceae. The record is from RNAcentral.
GCAGCCGCGGUAAUUCCAGCUCCAAUAGCGUAUAUUAAAGUUGUUGCAGUUAAAAAGCUCGUAGUUGAAUUUCGGGGUUAGUAGGUUGGUCAUGCCAUUGGUAUGAACUGGUCUCGCUGAUCCCUCCCUCUUGACGAACUGUGAUGCCAUUAAUUUGGUGUCGCAGGGAAUCAGGACUGUUACUUUGAAAAAAUUGAGUGUUUAAAGCAGGCUCACGCUUGAAUACAUUAGCAUGGAAUAAUGAAAUAGGACGUUUGAUCCUAUUUUGUUGGCUUCUAGGAUUGACGUAAUGAUUAAUAGGGAUAGUUAGGGGCAUUAGUAUUCAAUUGUCAGAGGUGAAAUUCUUGGAUUUAUUGAAGCUAACUACUGCGAAAGCAUUUGCCAAGGAUGUUUUCAUUAAUCAAGAACGAAAGUUAGGGAUCGAAGACGAUCAGAUACCGUCGUAGUCUUAACCAUAAACUAUGCCGACUAGGGAUCGGAUGAUGUUAAUUUUUAUGUACU